Long non-coding RNA from Bolinopsis microptera, 1904 nucleotides. RefSeq lists it as uncharacterized. The record is from RefSeq and is a predicted model, not a curated record. The transcript has 4 exons. Lineage: Eukaryota; Metazoa; Ctenophora; Tentaculata; Lobata; Bolinopsidae.
AGAUUCAAUUAAUAAAUUUUAGAUUGCAGCUUGAUAUCACUUAGUAUGUACAUUGUACUCGGUUGCAAGGGUAGAACUUAUGAGAAUACUAUCAUAGUAUUAUUGCACUAUACUAUUAUGGGUUCAUCAAAGUUCGUAUCAUGAUUUGUCACAAUUAAACCAUCGAGUCACUUGAGGAAACCCGUUAAAGCUCGCAAUUGGCGACGAGAUAAAGUUUGUGGUACCUCUAGAUGUUAAGUUAACUCUUAGGCUCCAAUCUUCCUUACUAUACCUACCACUCCUUCUUCCUUGAUAAGAAGUAGAUCCAUCUGGAACAGUGAGCUGCUUCUUCCCUUCUAUCCCGUACUAGCCUACUCAGCUCUCUCCAAACCGUGAACAACUACUCCCGGUGCUAGAACUUUAACCGCAUAAUUAUAACAGCACAAUUCUUUCGCUUGAAUCUCAGUCUGCUGUAAGACUGCUGUACCGGUAGAGUUUUUACUUGUAUGAUUCAGCAAUCUGCUCUUUAGAUGGUACCGUUACCUCCCGCCAUAAGACUGUGCCGUCUUGGUGACCUUGAGAAUAUCAUAAGGUCCGAUAUAUAAAAGCACUAUCCAAUAUCGAGACCCACUCAGGAUCCCAAACCACGACUCCUUUCGGUCGUCUGUACUUGCUUUUUUCCUCCCAGCAUGGACUAAGUCAAUGAUACUGUCUUACAUCGCUGGCCUUGUUCUUAUAAGUGUUCACUCGGCGCUCACAAGAUAACAUGUUCAGAGAUCUGUUGCAGAACCUUGUCGUGCCGUCAUUUAUAUACUCCUUGACUAAGAGCUACUUUACACCUACAGCAAAAAUGUGCUAAAUGAUACCCAUCCUCUCCUCACAUUACUGUACUUGCACUUACCAUCCUCAUCUUCGCCAUAGAGGUGGUUAAGAGGGUGACGUACACAGCAUCUAGCACGAAUCCAAUAAGCAGCUAUCAAGUCUCAAGAUAUGACAUAAUUUGAUAGAAUGUUAGUACCAACGCUAUCAGUGCAUUGAAGUCGAGUUCUCGAUACAGGGAGCUGCUGGUAAACUACCGUCGCUAUACAUCGACUAUGACUACAAUCCUACUUUUAAAAACAAACUACAUACAUAUCUCACAUUUGCGAGGACUACUUCAUCACAAGCAAAAAAUCGACAUUGGUAAAUAAAGGUCUGUCUUCUAUAACCACGAUGAAAAGAAAAGCUGGGCGAAAACACUUGAGACUGCAGAUUGCAGAACUGGAACACUCUAUUUGAAGACAGUGGCUGCUGAGUGCUGAGCUGCAUCAAAUCUAUCAGCAUCAUGUAACUUCGAUCAGGAACAGACUCCAUUUCAUUUCCGACAACUAGCACCUGUUUUCCCUAGACUUACCAAGUAUUAAGUAACUGCAUUAGUAUUAGGUUAAAUUAAAGGCCCUACAUCGAACAAGUCUAACAAUUAAAACUUAAAUGCAAGAGUGCACAAUUUAUCACUAAAUAUCUUCCUCUUUUAAUUCUAAUCAACACACGGUUUCGUCUUUGUUUCACCCAAUCGUGCUGAUAAUCAGUAAUCAUGCACUCUGCACUCUAACUUCGAGAUGUUUCAAAAGGGCUCCCGACGAGUUGAAUUAGAUCAAUAUUUUCUUUUGAUACAUAGAUACUGAUUGGGAGGUUCAUCAUACUAUUCUUGUCACAUGGUAACGAUUAACGAUUAGCUGAUCAGCUUCCAGCAUCGACAGGCCGAAAUCCAUAAAUAUAAUCAGUUGUAAUUUAAUAUUUAUCAUCGUCCGGAUCAUCAUAAUAUUUUAAUUUAAAGUUACAAUUGAACGGUGUUAAGAAAGAUAAUUUAAGAGAAAUGUUUUGAAAGUGCCUGAUUUCGAGUAUAAGAUCUGUACUGAUACAUUAAUUUUCAGAUUGUUAUUAUA